RNAcentral lists this ribosomal RNA (254 nucleotides) under uncultured bacterium. Its description in RNAcentral is "partial 16S ribosomal RNA". It matches the Rfam family "Bacterial small subunit ribosomal RNA", at positions 524 to 777 of the family's 1533-position model. The record is from RNAcentral.
UACGUAGGUGGCAAGCGUUAGCCGGAAUUAUUGGGCGUAAAGCGCGCGCAGGCGGUUUCUUAAGUCUGAUGUGAAAGCCCACGGCUCAACCGUGGAGAGUCAUUGGAAACUGGGGAACUUGAGUGCAGAAGAGAAAAGCGGAAUUCCACGUGUAGCGGUGAAAUGCGUAGAGAUGUGGAGGAACACCAGUGGCGAAGGCGGCUUUUUGGUCUGUAACUGACGCUGAGGCGCGAAAGCGUGGGGAGCAAACAGGG